Molecule: transfer RNA, 72 nt
Filed under: Flavobacteriales bacterium
Lineage: Bacteria; Pseudomonadati; Bacteroidota; Flavobacteriia; Flavobacteriales
Description: tRNA-Lys
Rfam family: tRNA
About the family: Transfer RNA (tRNA) molecules are approximately 80 nucleotides in length.
Source: RNAcentral
UUAUAUAUAGCUUAAUGGAUAAAGCAAUCGACUUUUAAUCGAUGUAUUAAGGUUCGAUUCCUUAUAUAUAAA